AUGCAAGUCGAGCGAAUGGAUUAAGAGCUUGCUCUUAUGAAGUUAGCGGCGGACGGGUGAGUAACACGUGGGUAACCUGCCCAUAAGACUGGGAUAACUCCGGGAAACCGGGGCUAAUACCGGAUAAUAUUUUGAACUGCAUGGUUCGAAAUUGAAAGGCGGCUUCGGCUGUCACUUAUGGAUGGACCCGCGUCGCAUUAGCUAGUUGGUGAGGUAACGGCUCACCAAGGCAACGAUGCGUAGCCGACCUGAGAGGGUGAUCGGCCACACUGGGACUGAGACACGGCCCAGACUCCUACGGGAGGCAGCAGUAGGGAAUCUUCCGCAAUGGACGAAAGUCUGACGGAGCAACGCCGCGUGAGUGAUGAAGGCUUUCGGGUCGUAAAACUCUGUUGUUAGGGAAGAACAAGUGCUAGUUGAAUAAGCUGGCACCUUGACGGUACCUAACCAGAAAGCCACGGCUAACUACGUGCCAGCAGCCGCGGUAAUACGUAGGUGGCAAGCGUUAUCCGGAAUUAUUGGGCGUAAAGCGCGCGCAGGUGGUUUCUUAAGUCUGAUGUGAAAGCCCACGGCUCAACCGUGGAGGGUCAUUGGAAACUGGGAGACUUGAGUGCAGAAGAGGAAAGUGGAAUUCCAUGUGUAGCGGUGAAAUGCGUAGAGAUAUGGAGGAACACCAGUGGCGAAGGCGACUUUCUGGUCUGUAACUGACACUGAGGCGCGAAAGCGUGGGGGAGCAAACAGGAUUAGAUACCCUGGUAGUCCACGCCGUAAACGAUGAGUGCUAAGUGUUAGAGGGUUUCCGCCCUUUAGUGCUGAAGUUAACGCAUUAAGCACUCCGCCUGGGGAGUACGGCCGCAAGGCUGAAACUCAAGGAAUUGACGGGGGCCCGCACAAGCGGUGG
RNAcentral lists this ribosomal RNA (901 nucleotides) under bacterium. RNAcentral's name for it is "bacterial SSU rRNA". It matches the Rfam family "Bacterial small subunit ribosomal RNA", at positions 55 to 935 of the family's 1533-position model. The record is from RNAcentral.